This 468-nucleotide ribosomal RNA is filed under the name uncultured bacterium. Its description in RNAcentral is "partial 16S ribosomal RNA". It matches the Rfam family "Bacterial small subunit ribosomal RNA", at positions 28 to 507 of the family's 1533-position model. The record is from RNAcentral.
GACGAACGCUGGCGGCGUGCUUAACACAUGCAAGUCGAACGGAAAGGCCCUGCUUUUGUGGGGUGCUCGAGUGGCGAACGGGUGAGUAACACGUGAGUAACCUGCCCUUGACUUUGGGAUAACUUCAGGAAACUGGGGCUAAUACCGGAUAGGAGCUCCUGCUGCAUGGUGGGGGUUGGAAAGUUUCGGCGGUUGGGGAUGGACUCGCGGCUUAUCAGCUUGUUGGUGGGGUAGUGGCUUACCAAGGCUUUGACGGGUAGCCGGCCUGAGAGGGUGACCGGCCACAUUGGGCCUGAGGUACGGCCCAGACUCCUACGGGAGGCAGCAGGGGGGAAUAUUGCACAAUGGGCGGAAGCCUGAUGCAGCAACGCCGCGUGCGGGAUGACGGCCUUCGGGUUGUAAACCGCUUUCGCCUGUGACGAAGCGUGAGUGACGGUAAUGGGUAAAGAAGCACCGGCUAACUACGUG